UGGCGGACGGGUGAGUAAUGUCUGGGAAACUGCCCGAUGGAGGGGGAUAACUACUGGAAACGGUAGCUAAUACCGCAUAACGUCGCAAGACCAAAGAGGGGGACCUUCGGGCCUCUUGCCAUCGGAUGUGCCCAGAUGGGAUUAGCUAGUAGGUGGGGUAACGGCUCACCUAGGCGACGAUCCCUAGCUGGUCUGAGAGAUGACCAGCCACACUGGAACUGAGACACGGUCCAG
RNAcentral lists this ribosomal RNA (234 nucleotides) under uncultured bacterium. RNAcentral describes it as "partial 16S ribosomal RNA". It matches the Rfam family "Bacterial small subunit ribosomal RNA", at positions 96 to 334 of the family's 1533-position model. The record is from RNAcentral.